UUUCUGUUCAUUUUAAGCAGCAAAAGUGAGGUGCAUGUCUGUGUGCGUGCCAUUGGGUGCAGUCACUAUAGCAACCAGGCUCACACCUGCCUGCUUAACGAGCUCUCUCUCACUCUGCCAAGGUUAAACCUAAAAAUGUCUGCUGCAUCUAAGCAGUUGUAGUAAGAUUAACUUUUUCAAUAGGUACAAUAAGACAGUUUUGACAGGGGUCAGUAGUUAGUAUAUGCCAACUAAGUAGAGCAUUGUGAUUGGCACAUAGGUUUUUCAGAUCUGGGCAGUUGGAGUCAGUUGAUGACUUUAAAAUCAUCCUUUCUGACUGGAUAAUUAAAGCUUACAGCAUCUACCUGUCUGUAGUUGAUUUUCCCACAUUUUAACUAACGUUUAACUAAUCUAAUCUCCUUUAUUGUCUGUGUUUAUAGUCUGUAUAGUUUAUCUCCCCACUAACAAACUUAAAGUAGUCUUAAAAUAAAACCCACAAAACAGUUCAAAAUGAAAUACUUUUUAUUUGCUCAUGUAAUGCCAGUUGCCAUAUUUUUCUGUAUGUCACUCAUUCGCUUAUACAAAAAGUACCAAUUUGUACACUAGUCUAGUGGAUUUUUUCCCUCUAUCUCUCUAUGUCUCUUACACACAGAGACUAACACAGACAUGUAUAUGCUCAUUAUUGCUGUUCAAACUGAUGUUCAAAUUUCCAAGCACCACCUGAACGCCUCAUUUAUUUUUAACCCAUCACUGGACCAACUGUCAUCAUUCCGCUUUGCUCUCUGCUGUGGAACUUGACUGACAUCUGUGCUUUGCCUGUGUGCAGAAGAACAAGGACCAGAUCUCCAGUCUUCUCUGUCACAUCCCAACCCCCCAUCCCU
Oreochromis niloticus (Nile tilapia) is the source of this 860-nucleotide long non-coding RNA. RefSeq lists it as uncharacterized. The transcript is spliced from 3 exons. The record is from RefSeq and is a predicted model, not a curated record. Lineage: Eukaryota; Metazoa; Chordata; Actinopteri; Cichliformes; Cichlidae.